CAGCCUGCCAGUGACAAAUGUUCAACGGCCGCGGUAUCCUAACCGUGCGAAGGUAGCGUAAUCACUUGUUCUUUAAAUGUGGACUAGUAUGAACGGCACCACGAGGGUUAUACUGUCUCCUUUCUCCAAUCAGUGAAACUAAUCUCCCCGUGAAGAAGCGGGGAUAAAAAUAUAAGACGAGAAGACCCUAUGGAGCUUAAAAGUUUACUUCAAACGCUAACCCCUACAAAGUCAUAGACUACCACAAGAAGCCACGCGCCAUGAAAACAACUUUUAGGUUGGGGUGACCAUGGAGCACAAAACAACCUCCACGCUGAACAGGCCUCCAAGCCUCGAGCCAAGGGCCACAACCCGCCGCACUAAAAAAUUAACAUCCAUUGAUCCAAUGAAUUUUGAUCAACGAACCAAGUUACCCUAGGGAUAACAGCGCAAUCUACUUCAAGAGUUCCUAUCGACAAGUGGGUUUACGACCUCGAUGUUGGAUCAGGGUGUCCCAGUGGUGCAGCCGCUACUAAUGGUUCGUUUGUUCAACGUUAAAACCCUACGUGAUC
This 551-nucleotide ribosomal RNA is filed under the name Scinax cf. nasicus RB-2011. Its description in RNAcentral is "partial 16S ribosomal RNA". It matches the Rfam family "Bacterial large subunit ribosomal RNA", at positions 1855 to 2605 of the family's 2925-position model. Lineage: Eukaryota; Metazoa; Chordata; Amphibia; Anura; Hylidae. The record is from RNAcentral.